UACGGAGGGUCCAAGCGUUAUCCGGAAUCAUUGGGCUUAAAGGGUCCGUAGGCGGUUUUGUAAGUCUGUGGUGAAAGCCCAUCGCUCAACGGUGGAACGGCCAUUGAUACUGCAAGACUUGAAUUAUUAGGAAGUAACUAGAAUAUGUAGUGUAGCGGUGAAAUGCUUAGAGAUUACAUGGAAUACCAAUUGCGAAGGCAGGUUACUACUAAUGGAUUGACGCUGAUGGACGAAAGCGUGGGUAGCGAACAGG
This 253-nucleotide ribosomal RNA is filed under the name uncultured bacterium. RNAcentral describes it as "partial 16S ribosomal RNA". It matches the Rfam family "Bacterial small subunit ribosomal RNA", at positions 524 to 776 of the family's 1533-position model. The record is from RNAcentral.